Molecule: ribosomal RNA, 460 nt
Filed under: uncultured bacterium
Lineage: Bacteria
Description: partial 16S ribosomal RNA
Rfam family: Bacterial small subunit ribosomal RNA
Source: RNAcentral
CCUACGGGAGGCAGCAGUGAGGAAUAUUGGUCAAUGGACGAGAGUCUGAACCAGCCAAGUAGCGUGAAGGAUGACUGCCCUAUGGGUUGUAAACUUCUUUUAUAUGGGAAUAAAAUGUUCCACGUGUGGGAUUUUGUAUGUACCAUAUGAAUAAGGAUCGGCUAACUCCGUGCCAGCAGCCGCGGUAAUACGGAGGAUCCGAGCUUUAUCCGGAUUUAUUGGGUUUAAAGGGAGCGUAGGUGGAUUGUUAAGUCAGUUGUGAAAGUUUGCGGCACAACCGUAAAAUUGCAGUUGAAACUGGCAGUCUUGAGUACAGUAGAGGUGAGCGGAAUUCGUGGUGUAGCGGUGAAAUGCUUAGAUAUCACGAAGAACUCCGAUUGCGAAGGCAGUUCACUGGACUGCAACUGACACUGAGGCUCGAAAGUGUGGGUAUCAAACAGGAUUAGAUACCCCAGUAGUC